AUGGUUAAGCGAAGAAGAGCGCAGGGUGGAUGCCUUGGCACUGGGAGCCGAUGAAAGACGUGAUAAGCUGCGAAAAGCUUCGGGGAGGGGCAAAUACCCAUCGAUCCGGAGAUAUCUGAAUGGGGAAACCCGCCUGAGAAACCCUCAGGCAUCCAUACGCCAAUCCAUAACGUAUGGAGGGGAACCCGGGGAACUGAAACAUCUAAGUACCCGGAGGAAGAGAAAGAAACAUCGAUUCCGUAAGUAGCGGCGAGCGAACGCGGAAGAGCCCAAACCGGCAUGCGUGCAUGCCGGGGUUAAGGACCGCAGAGAGGAUCCAGGAAGGUUAACGGAACGGUUUUGGGAAAGCCGGCCGGAGAGGGUGAAAGCCCCGUACGUGAAAACCGGAAUGGCCAAGCGGGAUCCAGAGUACCACGAGACACGUGAAACCUUGUGGGAAGUCGGGGGGACCACCCCCCAAGGCUAAAUACUGCCCAGUGACCGAUAGCGCAUAGUACUGUGAAGGAAAGGUGAAAAGAACCCCGGGAGGGGAGUGAAAGAGAACCUGAAACCCUGUGUUUACAAGCUGUGGGAGCGCUGCAUAUGCGCGACCGCGUACUUUUUGUAGAACGGUCCGGCGAGCUGCGCCGGCUGGCAAGGUUAAGUGCCAAAGGCACGGAGCCGGAGGGAAACCAAGUCUGAAUAGGGCGUUUUAGUCAGCCAGUGCAGGCCCGAAACCGGGUGAUCUAUCCAUGUCCAGGCUGAAGCUGCCGUAAAAGGCAAUGGAGGGCCGAACCCACAUCCGUUGAAAAGGGUGGGGAUGAGGUGUGGAUAGGGGAGAAAUUCCAAUCGAACCCGGAGAUAGCUGGUUCUCCUCGAAAUAGCUUUAGGGCUAGCCCCGCAGGAGGUUCACGGAGGUAGAGCACUGAAUACCCUAGGGGGCGUCAAAGCUUACCGAAGGUUAUCAAACUCCGAAUGCCGUGGAACUGCUCUGCGGGAGUCAGACUGCACGAGAUAAGUUGGGCAGUCAAAAGGGAAAGAGCCCAGACCUCCAGCUAAGGCCCCAAAGUGUGUGUUAAGUGGAAAAGGAUGUGGGAUUUCGAAGACAGCUAGGAUGUUGGCUCAGAAGCAGCCAUACAUUCAAAGAGUGCGUAAUAGCUCACUAGUCGAGAGGUCCUGCGCCGAAAAUGUCCGGGGCUGAAACAUGCCGCCGAAGCUGAGGGAUGCACGUGAGUGCAUCGGUAGGGGAGCAUUCCUGCAGGGAAGAAGCUGUACCGUAAGGGGCAGUGGACAUGCAGGAAGAGAGAAUGCCGGAAUGAGUAGCGAGAGGAAGGUGGGAAUCCUUCCGGCCGAAUAUCCAAGGUUUCCAGGGUAAAGCUGAUCUGCCCUGGGUAAGUCGGGGCCUAAGGCGAGGCCGAAAGGCGUAGCCGAUGGACAACAGGUUGAAAUUCCUGUACUGCUGUAUGACAGAACUGUGGGGACACGUGUGGAGAGCAUAGCCGGGGAAUGGAAAGACCCGGGCAAGCGGGGUAGGAGUCCUGCCGGAAAAACCGCAGGGCAAUCCGAAGACGUGAUGCGGACCGAAAGAGAGUAGGGAAGUAUGCGAGCCAUGCGUCAAGAAAAGCCGCUAUUGUUCAUAGAGCACCCGUACCGUAAACCGACACAGGUGGAUGAGGAGAGAAUCCUAAGGCCGACGGAAGAAGCAUUGCCAAGGAACUCGGCAAAAUGACCCCGUAACUUCGGGAGAAGGGGUGCCCCAGAGAUGGGGCCGCAGAGAAUUGGCCCAAGCAACUGUUUAGCAAAAACACAGGUCUAUGCAAAACCGCAAGGUGAGGUAUAUGGGCUGACGCCUGCCCGGUGCUGGAAGGUUAAGGGGAGGGGUUAGCGCAAGCGAAGCCCUGAUCUUAAGCCCCAGUAAACGGCGGCCGUAACUAUAACGGUCCUAAGGUAGCGAAAUUCCUUGUCGGGUAAGUUCCG
RNAcentral lists this ribosomal RNA (1956 nucleotides) under Anaerotruncus sp. 1XD22-93. RNAcentral's name for it is "bacterial LSU rRNA". It matches the Rfam family "Bacterial large subunit ribosomal RNA", at positions 1 to 1985 of the family's 2925-position model. Lineage: Bacteria; Bacillati; Bacillota; Clostridia; Eubacteriales; Oscillospiraceae. The record is from RNAcentral.